AGCAGCCGCGGUAAUUCCAGCUCCAAUAGCGUAUAUUAAAGUUGUUGCAGUUAAAAGCUCGUAGUUGAAUUUUGGAUUCUACCAAUUGGUCCAUCUUUUAGAUGAGUACUGGUUGUGUGGGGUCUAUCCGCCUGGUGAUACGUAAUGUCCUUUAUUGGAUGUUGCGGGUAGUCAGGACCUUUACCUUGAAAAAAUUAGAGUGUUUAAAGCAGGCUUAUGCCGGAAUACAUUAGCAUGGAAUAAUAGAAUAGGACGAAGUUGUUUUAUUUUGUUGGUUUCUAGGACAACCGUAAUGAUUAAUAGGGAUAGUUGGGGGCAUUAGUAUUCAAUUGUCAGAGGUGAAAUUCUUGGAUUUAUUGAAGACUAACUACUGCGAAAGCAUUUGCCAAGGAUGUUUUCAUUAAUCAAGAACGGAAGUUAGGGGAUCGAAGACGAUCAGAUACCGUCGUAGUCUUAACCAUAAACUAUGCCGACUAGGGAUCGGGCGAUGUUGUUUCCAUGACUCGCUCGGCACCUUAUG
Molecule: ribosomal RNA, 520 nt
Filed under: uncultured Archaeospora
Lineage: Eukaryota; Fungi; Glomeromycota; Glomeromycetes; Archaeosporales; Archaeosporaceae
Description: SSU rRNA
Rfam family: Eukaryotic small subunit ribosomal RNA
Source: RNAcentral